Molecule: ribosomal RNA, 848 nt
Filed under: uncultured Variovorax sp.
Lineage: Bacteria; Pseudomonadati; Pseudomonadota; Betaproteobacteria; Burkholderiales; Comamonadaceae
Description: bacterial SSU rRNA
Rfam family: Bacterial small subunit ribosomal RNA
Source: RNAcentral
CAAGUCGAACGGCAGCACGGGAGCAAUCCUGGUGGCGAGUGGCGAACGGGUGAGUAAUACAUCGGAACGUGCCCAAUCGUGGGGGAUAACGCAGCGAAAGCUGUGCUAAUACCGCAUACGAUCUACGGAUGAAAGCAGGGGACCGCAAGGCCUUGCGCGAAUGGAGCGGCCGAUGGCAGAUUAGGUAGUUGGUGGGGUAAAGGCUCACCAAGCCAACGAUCUGUAGCUGGUCUGAGAGGACGACCAGCCACACUGGGACUGAGACACGGCCCAGACUCCUACGGGAGGCAGCAGUGGGGAAUUUUGGACAAUGGGCGCAAGCCUGAUCCAGCCAUGCCGCGUGCAGGAUGAAGGCCUUCGGGUUGCAAACUGCUUUUGUACGGAACGAAAAGUCUCUUUCUAAUAAAGAGGGAUCAUGACGGUACCGUAAGAAUAAGCACCGGCUAACUACGUGCCAGCAGCCGCGGUAAUACGUAGGGUGCAAGCGUUAAUCGGAAUUACUGGGCGUAAAGCGUGCGCAGGCGGUGAUGUAAGACAGUUGUGAAAUCCCCGGGCUCAACCUGGGAACUGCAUCUGUGACUGCAUCGCUGGAGUGCGGCAGAGGGGGAUGGAAUUCCGCGUGUAGCAGUGAAAUGCGUAGAUAUGCGGAGGAACACCGAUGGCGAAGGCAAUCCCCUGGGCCUGCACUGACGCUCAUGCACGAAAGCGUGGGGAGCAAACAGGAUUAGAUACCCUGGUAGUCCACGCCCUAAACGAUGUCAACUGGUUGUUGGGGAUUCACUUCCUCAGUAACGAAGCUAACGCGUGAAGUUGACCGCCUGGGGAGUACGGCCGCAAGGUUGAAACUC